CUGGGAGUGAGCGCUGGGGCCACCGGCUACGGGAAGGAGGGGAGCGGCCAAACUGGGGGGCGGGCACUGCAGAGUGACAGCAACACUGACCAAUCACUGAUUAAAGGAAGAACUGAGUGACAGGGCGGCCAACCAAUCACAGCGCAGAGAGAGACUGACAGCAAUACUGGCCAAUCACUGAUUAAAGGAAGAACUGAGUGACAGGGCGGCCAACCAAUCACAGCGCAGAGAGAGACUGACAGCAAUACUGGCCAAUCACUGAUUAAAGGAAGAACUGAGUGACAGGGCGGCCAACCAAUCACAGCGCAGAGAGAGACUGACAGCAAUAUUGACCAAUCACUGAUUAAAGGAAGAACUGAGUGAUAAAACAGCCACCCAAUCACAGCACAGAGAGAGACUGACAGCAAUACUGGCCAAUCACUGAUUAGAGGAAGAACUGAGUGACAGGGCAGCCAACCAAUCUCCCACACCCAGUCAUUAUUUACUAAUAUCUCCCACACACAGUCAUAGCAAGACCACUUAACCCCUUAAGGACUG
Molecule: non-coding RNA, 537 nt
Organism: Pelobates cultripes (western spadefoot toad)
Lineage: Eukaryota; Metazoa; Chordata; Amphibia; Anura; Pelobatidae
Source: the annotation of a GenBank genome assembly